AAAAAAAAAUUGUAUUACGUAAAGAUUAUAGAGUGAUUAUUUGCAAAAAGAAGAAAUGAUUUAUAUUAUGAAAUAAGAAAAUAAGAAUGAAAUAUAAAUAAUAAUAUAAUAUUGAGGAGAGAGAAAAAGAUUCCUUUUUAGAGAGUAAAAUAGAGAAUUGGGUUGGAGUUGAUUGUCUGAAAAAAUAGAGAACUCUAUAUUUGGAGAGUAAAAUAGAGGAUUGGGUUGGAGAUGCCCUUAAGAUAAUCAGUCUUUAACUACUUUCAAAGAGAAUAAGUUUUAGACAAAAUUUAAAUUCUCUAUCAUUUUGAAGGGCAAUAGAUUAACUUAAAAAGAAAAAAGGAAGACACAAAUUACAUAUAAAAUAUUCAUAUGGAAAGAAAUUUUUGUAUGCUCGAUCUCUUUAUUAUUUAUUUUUUGUAGGUGGAGGAAGUCAAGGGAGAGAUAAAGAAAAUAAUACGAGUUAGCCGUUUAAAUAGGAGCGGAGUGAAUGAAAUGAAAAUUCGAAUUUGGUGUCUAGUGUAAUAAGAAAGUGUCAUCAAAUUUUAUAAAGUGGUAGUCAGAUCUAUGAUCUAUGGUGUUGUAUGGUGGGAAAGUGUUUGUAGUCAAGAACUUGCAUGUCCAAAAGAUGAGAAUAGCGGAAAGGAGCAUGUUGAGAUGGAUGUGUGGCAUAUUAGGAGAGAAAAAGUUAGAAAUGAAGUUGUUCGAAACAAGGUGGGAGUGACCUCUAUAAUUGACAAGAUGAGGGAGGCGAGACUAAGGUGGUUCGGAUAUGUGAAGAGAAGAUGCACAGAUACCCCAGUGAUAAAGUGUGAGAGAUUGGCUAUAGUGGGUAUUAGAAGAGGUAAAGACAAAAUCGAAGAAGUCUUGGGGAGGUGAAUUAUACAAACAUGACAUACUUGUAACUUAUCGAGGACAUAACUCUAGAUAGAAAGAUAUGAAGGUCGGAGAUUAAGGUAAAAUAUUAGUAAGUAGUUGUACAUUGUCUAACUCCCCUACAAGUAUUGCUAUAAAUACUCUCUUAGAAUUUUUAGAUUUUAAUAAUAUUUGUUGUUUCAUUUACUUCCGUGAUCGUAUUGUUUACUUUUGUUAUAGUGUUCUUUUCUUCAUUGUUUUCAGUAUGGCUUCUUCUGCUACUAUAUUUGUUUUAAUUAAAGAAAAUUUUAAAUGAAAAAAAUACACAUUCUAUCUUCUCAUAGUAUCAAUUUAUGAUACUAGGUCUUGCUAAUCAUAUCUAUGAUUUCAAUAAUUUUCAUUUCAGUAUGUUUAUCAUUAUAUGAAAUGAAAUUUUAAAAAACUUAUGUCUUUUAUUCUGUACGUGUUAAUUUUUCAUUCAUUGACAUUGUAUUUAUAUGUGUUGAAUUGACAAGUAAUAAAAGAUAAAAAUUAACACAAAGAAUUAAAAAUCAUGUUAGUUAGCUUUUUCAAGAAAACCUAAACUCAUUAAAAAGUAGGAAAAAUUAUGCAAAAUAAUAAGUAUUUAAAGUUUAAACUAUAUUAAAUGAUAUAAUUAUUGUUUAGGGAAAUUCAAAUGCGCAUCUAUAGUUUCGUCAUAUAUUGUUUUUUUCCUAACUUGUAUAAUUCGCCUGAUUAGUAUGAUUUGCCGAUUUGUAUAAAUUCGUUAAUUUGUAGAAUUUGAUUUUGGAUUGUACAAAUUCAGAUUUUUUUAUUUCCUGACCCUAUCCAUUUGUAUACGAUUAAUGAAUUCAUAAUGAAUUACCCUGUUUAUAUAUUGACAAAUAAAAUAUACAAACAAAGUUCUGAAAAAAUUCUGAAAUGUAUAAAUACAAUAUUUUUAUAUACUUACCCUAUUUGUAUAUUUGCAAGCGAAAUAUACAAACGGGUAGAAAUAUACAACCGCAACCUCCAUAGCAAAAGGAACUAUAGCUAUGAAACACAAUUAUCGAAACAAUAUUUAUAGAGUUUUAUUAAGUCUAUUAUGUUUACUAUUUCUGAAAAUUUCUCUUAAAAUUAUACCUCUACAAGUCCUGGGCUUAAAAGUUGGCCCAAAAAAAUUUGUCCUACACUGAAUUACCCACACAUAUAUUAGGCCUUCUAAUGGGCUUUUCAUCCAAAAGAAAAAUAUUUUGAUGAAGGGAAAAUAUGUUUCUUCUUUUGUGUCAAUCUGAAUUUAGAGGUGGAUUAAAAAAAUUUAGUAUAUAAGUGUACCCCUAAAAGAAGAAGGAAAAUUUGUAUUAAGAGUGAAUUGAUACCUUAGUCCUUUAGAUAAAUAUCGCAAACACUCAAUCAAUUAAAUUAUUUAGCUUUCUUGUAGUAUGGAUGCAAUUAGAUAAUAAUAUACUAAUUAUAAAAAAAAAUUGUUUUAUGUAAACAUCAUGAAUUCACAUGUUUCAUUUUUAGCAUUUAAAUUCGUCCUUGUGUCUUAUAAUUAAUAAAUUAAACUUCUUGACUCAACAAGGUAACUAAUCAUUCACAAUAAUGAACUUAUCAGAAAUUAAGUAGUGAAUGACAUUAAUUUGACAAGAUGAAACAUUUCUUUUGAAUAUAAAUUGAUUUUUCAAAUUAGUAAGAUUGACAUAAUUAUUACUUUUAAUUAUAUGUUAAAUAUAUCUAAUAUCUAUUAGAAUAUUUUGCUUAAAACGACAAAAUAAAAGUCAAAAUGAUUUUACAAAUAUUUUGACUUUUAUAAAUACUUAUUUUCCUAUAUAUUUUAUUGAAGAAGGUUGACCAAUUAAUUAAAAAUAUGAAGGUAAAAAAUUGAGGGUCAAAUAAUUUAUACAAAGGAUGUAGACGUGGAAAUGCACUAAAUUACUAUACAUAAUUUUUCACUACGUAAAACAAAUAAAAAGGAAUCCAAGAUAUUCUACACCGCGUAUGGCAACAUAAUUAUUGUACAUGACUUCAUUUUUACCAAAUAAUGUGGCUUUUUAACAUUAUAAAUACACCUAUGAUAUCAAUAUUCUACAUCACAUUUUCUUACUUCCUCAAAGUAAAGUUUAGUUGUGGAAAACAAAAUGGAGCCUACCAACAUUGAAAGGUUGCUAAAAACUCCAAUUGAAGAAAUGAAUUCUCAUGAGCUUCAACAAUUCGAAGAGCUCCUGGAUGCAGCAGUUGAGAAACUUGUUCAAGCUUUGGUGUUUUUCCAUCUGAAAUCCUUGGAAGUGAUUUGACUCCUUCAAAGGAUAAGUAAAAUUAUUCAUCAAGUUUCGAUGUUUGACCAACUAGGUCUUGCUAAUCAUAUCUAUGAUUUCAAUAUUUUUCAUUUCUGUGUGUUUAUCAUUAUUUGAAAUGAAAUAAAAAAAAUUAUGUCUUUUAAUUGGUAUGUGAUGAUUUUUCAUUCAUUGACAUUGUAAUUAUAUGUGUUGAAUUCACAAGUAAUAAAAAAUAAAAACAAAAUAACACAAAGAAUUAAAAAUCAUGUUAGUUAGCUUUUUCAAGAAAACCUAAACUCAUUUAUAAGUAAGAAAAAUUGUGCAGAAUAGCAAAUAUUUAAACCAUAUUAAAUGAUAUAACUAUUGUUUAGGGAAAUUUUAAUUCGCAUCUAUAGUUUCGCCAUAUCUUGUUUUUAGCCUGAUUUGUAUGAUUCGCCGAUUUGUAUCAAUUCAAAUUUUGUAGAAUUCGACUAUGGAUUGUACAAAUUCAGAAUUUUGUAUGUGCUUACUCUAUCUAUUUGUAUACGAUUUAAUGAAUUACCCUGUUUUGUAUAUUGACAAGUGAAAAAUAUAUAUACAAAGUUCUGAAAAAUUUCGAAAUAUAUUAAUACAUAAUUUUUAUAUACUUACCCUAUUUGUAUAUUCAUAAGCGAAAUAUACAAACUUGUAGAAAUAUACAGCCGCAACCUCCAUAGCAAAAGGAACUAUAGCUAUGAAACGCAAUUAUCGAAACUAUAUUUAUAGAGUUUUAUUAAGUCUAUUAUGUUUACUAUUUCUGAAAAUUUCUCUUAAAAGUAUACCUCUACAAAUCCUGGGCCUAAAAGUUGGCCCAGAAAAAUUUGUUUCACACUGAAUUACCCACAUAUAUAUAUUGGGCCCUCUAAUAAGCUUUUCAUCGAAAAGAAAAUAUUUUGAUGAAUAAGUUUAAAAUAGUUUGAAUAGAGCAAACUAUAUAAAUCUCACUAGUUUAGAUCCUAAUUACUAGAAUUUCUGAUAGUUUUUAAUAUUACUUUAUAUACCAUUUUCGGCUACGAGAUACAUGUAUCAUGGCCCAUAAGAUAUAUGUAUCCAUCAGAUUUAAAAGAGCGAGAUGCAUAAUUUAAUACUUUUCAAUUAAAUGUUGUAACUUAUUGCCUUAAUUAAAGGAGUAAAUGAUGGAAAUUAACAAACAAAACAGAUCUAAAGGAUCCUUUUGUAUCAACUAUUAACAUUUUUACUAAAAAAUCUAAAUCAUAAACCUUAAUAAUUCUGAAAUUGUAAAUUUCAUCUUCUUCAUCAAUUCCUUCUUUUGAAUCUUCAAUUUUUGAAGUUUCGAACAUUAACAAAGUAACUUUUUUUUUCUUCAGAAAUUCAAAUUUGGUUCUUUGAAUUUCAAGCUGUAAAUUUCAUACUUCUACCAAUAUUUAAAUAACAAUGUAUCUCAAAUAAACACAAUAUACAUAAAAACUAAUGUUCAUUCACUGUAUCUACAUAUACAUAACUAACAAUGUAUCUACAUUAAACACAAUGUAUAUAUGUAGGUUAGAUACAUACGAAAAUAGCAGAUGCAUUGCAAUAACAUAACAAAUGCGUAUUAUAAUAAGAUACUUGAUAGAAGGUCAGAUACACAUGACAAGAUUCAGACACAUAACAAAACAAAUUGUAUUAAAUACAUGUGUAAAUCUCCAAUAUAUUUAUUUGAUACAUACAUACUUAAUCAAAUACAUUAAUAAUAACUAGAUACAUAUAAUCGUAUCUCGAAUAUGUGUCAAAUACAUCAAUUGUGCCUUUUGACCACCUAUUUGCCUCCACCGUUCUAGGUUGUUUUCAUAGGAGUUGGGCUUUUAGAAUUGGGCUUCCAACCAUAUGGGAAUGUUUGGUGGGAUUCUUAUGUAAAUGUAUCGCCGCCCAAAAAAAAACAACUAAAAUGGUUGCAUUUAUGUGAAUUGUGAUGUAUAUUGUUAUUAAAAUAAUGUAAAAUUAUGUAUCAGAUGUAUAUACAUUGUUAUAUAAUAUUUAUAUAUUUCAACUGUUCAUCUUCCUCAAUGAGCUGAUUUUCCCCUAAACUAAUCAACUCAAAUCUCCUCUAAAUAAUCCCAAAAUUUAGAUACGAGCUCCUUUCGAUGUUUCGAGUCUUUAGAUAUAUUAUUUACUCGAUGCGAUUCACAUUUGCAGUAGGUCAAUUUUUUACAUUUUGAGCUUCGAAGCUAUUCAACGGCAAAUUACAAUGGACAUUAGCUCAAAUCUUCCUCUAAACAACUCAAGUUUUAGAUAUGAGGUCUUCUCGAUAUUUCAAUUCACGUAAAUUAAAUUUGAUGGUCCCACCUUAAACUCGUAUAUAUCCAAUGUAUGAUCUAUUUGGUGUAUACAUCGAAUGUCCCCUCAUGUAGUUUAAACUUUCCCGGUAUACAUGGAUUUUUUUUUCCAAAAAGUUAGCAUUAGGGGGUUGAAUUCAAUAUUGCCAAAAGUGACAAAGCAAAAUUAGUUGAAAGAAAUAAAAAAUAUGAAACCUACUUUUAAAAAUUAAAUGAUUAGUAUCAAAAUGGGCCAUAUAUAAAUGAUACUAGAAAAUAUAUCUAUUAAAAAAUUUAAAACAUGAGCUUCUAGUUCAUCAGAAUUACAAUACCCCUCCCCACCUACCCCCAACAAAGUAUUUAAAAAAAAUAAAAAAUAGAUCAAAUGGAACCAAAGGAAACUCAAUCAUUAAUUUGAGUAUCACCGAAUGAAACUUAGUGCGAAGUGGUAAAUAUUUCUCUCCAAGUUUGAAUCGCGUAAAUAAAACCGUCUUUGAUAUAUAACACUUUACCUCUCAAUACAAAUUCAAAUUAAUUAGACCUCAAAAUGAAUAUUAGAUAUCAUAUUAAAAAAAUAAAAAAGGAUUAUUAAUCUAAAUAUUUGAUGAUUUUACUCUAUACAAAGAAAUGAAGGAUGAAUAAUUGAAUACUUAGUAACUUCCUCAAAAAAAUAAAAUCAAAUAGUAUAGAGAAGACGUAGUCAAAUGGGAAUAGUGUUAACCUAAAAAAAAUGAACUUGUUGCCUUAUUGGUCCAUCAAUAAUUAUAGAAUAUAGUUGCUGAAGAAAAAUAAUUUAUGACAAAGAUAUUCAGCAAGAAAAUCCACAUUCCUUUGAAAAAAUCUACCUAAUAAGUGAAUGGAUCAAUUUCAACUUUCAAUGAUAUACAUAUAUUUUAAAAAAUUUAAUUUAUUUUUUCUCAAACCAAACAAAAAAAAUCAUGUAUAUAAAUUUUUAUUGCUAAACUUUGAUUAAAUGAUAUGUAUUUUUCACUUUUAUUUAUUAAUUUUAAGAAAUAUCUUAUUCAGAUAGGUAAUAUUAAUUCUAUGAGGUCGUUUGGUAUGAGAAACAAGAUAAACAAAGUAAUCUUAUGGACAUGAUAUCACAUAUUCAAUCAUAAUAAUAUAAAUAAUAAAAGAGAUAAUUCAAGGACUAACUGAUACUCUUAACUAAAUAUAAAAUAAAAUAAUUUUACAUUUUAUCUCGAAAUUAUUAUAUGAUCCGGUGUACCAAACCACCUCCUAUAAGUCAGAAAACUAGCCUCCACAUAUUUUCCCCUUGUCCAUUGUAGUGUCAUUUCCAAGUUCUUUUGUAUGUACAUCUAUGUGACUAAUGAGUUGAAUGAACACUUGUUGAUUAAAGCCAUUUGAAAACAGGUAGGAUUAAUAAUUAGUCUCAUUAAUGGGUGUGUCCAAUGAUGAUAUCUGAAUUAUGGGAUUCAUUUAUUAUAUACUAGAUGUAAAAUUACUGAUCGAUUUAAAAUUUAUAAGUUUCUAUAAUAAUAACUAAUAUAUAAUAAUAACUGAAUUUACAAUCAAGUUUUUAUAAAUAUUUGAUAUAUUUUAAUAUGAAUACUACAUUUUAAAAAUAAACUUAUUGAGUUCACAUAAACGUCAGGUAACACUCUAGAUCCGUUUAAUAUACAUUAUAAUUUUCUGUCAACAAAAAUUCAUUCAAACCCCAUAAUGCAUGCUCCUUUAGCUCCUUCCUAUCAUGCAAUGAGAUAGUCAAAAUUCCUGCAUUAUUAAUUAAAAAUACAUAUCAAGUUCGGAAAAUUUCUCGAUAGAAAGUAUGUUUAUCCUUUGAUAGAUUUUUACUUGACGUGAAUUUAAAUUAGUUCAGUAUAGGUCGAGUCGGUGGUGUCCAAUCUCAAGUGGGAUUUUUAUCCUUUUGGGGUGGGGGUGGGGGUGGGGUGGGGGAAAAAGCUCAGUAAAAGUAAAUAGAUUCUGAAAGUCACCUGGAUGCAACAUGUGCAAGUAUUGAUAGGGACUGAUGAAUACCAAGCAGUUUACACCAAUGACAAACAGCAAGUUUGGACCCUCAAAUACAAUUAUUGUACUUUCUUUUUUUAGUGGAAAAGAACAGUAUCUUUACCAUCAUAGGUUUACUAGAUUUAAUUAUAUUUUGUCAUUUAUCAUUUUUCUAAUGAAAAGGUAGGUUUAAAGCACUAGAUCUUUUUUGGAGUUUUCUUUAAUUUGGGGGAUAUGGACCAUUUAGUAUAAGAUAUGUAGAAGCAUAAAGAGGUUGAUGAUAAAUAAUAUGGUGGUGAAUAAAGAAAGUGAUUGACGAUAUAUAAUAUGGUGACUGAUGGUGGUGAGUUACGAUAGUAAUAACUGAUUAUAGUAAGUGAUUGAUAAUGAUGAUGGUUUGUAAGUUGUGACUUGUGACUGAAGAUGACUAUUGUUGUUGGCAUGUAUAAUGGUGAAUUACAAUUACAGUAGUUAUAAUAGUGAACGGAGGCGAUAACAAUGAGUAAAUGAAAUAUUAUGUUAGUAGCAAAGCAAAGUGUUGCUUUUGUACUCAAGAGUCAUUAUUACACAUUUACUACCACACCAAACAUAGUGGUUGUUUUAGUUUGUAAGUUGUGACUGAAGAUGACGAUUGUUGUUGGCAUGUAUAAUGGUGGAUUACAAUUAUAAUAGUUAUAAUAGUGAACGAAGGCGAUAACUAUGAGUAAAUGAAAUAUUAUGUUAGUAGCAAAGCAAAGUGUUAGCUUUUGUACUCAAGAGUCAUGAUUACACAUAGUGGUUGUUUUAUUAAAAGAAAAAAAAUCUAUAAAAGGAGUGAGAUGAAAUGAUUUAACUCUCUUCAGUCUUAAUUAGGUCCUGUUGACCAUAUAUAUUAUUUAUUUACUUCUGAAAUAUUUUUUUGUUUUAUUUAAAAAAAUUAGUGUUUUUUGUCUUUAGAUUUUCAAAUUUCAUUAGAAUUUGAAUUUAAUCUUGAAGGAAAUAAAAUAUUUCAAAAAGGGGUAAUUUUUUAACUAGAAGGUUUAUCAGAAAUAAUUUCUUUAUCUCGCACAAAGUAGGAGUAAGGUUUAUGUACACCUCAUUCUUCCCAAACUCUACUAGUGGAAUCACACUCAAUAUGUUAUUGUAAUAAGGAGCUUUUUUUGUGUGUGUAAAUCGAACCGGUAAAUUUAUAAAAACUACUAAUAUAAUUUAACAAAACAAAAUAUGUUUUUCUCCUUUAAUCCAAAGUGUAAUCCUCUUUCUUCAAAUUGUUUUAAAUUUCAAUAGUAAUACUAAUAAGAUUUAAAUUUUAUGAAUUCAGGGGCAUUGAUGACUUGACGAGUUGAUGUCAUUCUCAUCUUCUUCAGUUUAUUGAUCACCAAUCGCCUAUUUAAGAUUAUGUACUAAGUAAAACUUAACUCAAUACCUUACUUACAAUGCGAACGGAUCAUAAUCAUGAACCAUUCGUGCUUGUACUUAUCACAAAAAAUAUGAUCAAACACAACUCUAAUGUGAAAAUUUCACAUAAAGUAAUUUUUUGUUUUUGUUUAUUUACAUAGCCAAACACCCCAUGAAACAAAAUAUCAAAAAUCAAAACAAAAUUGGAAUUGAACAAUACACUUGAUUUUGAUUCUUGAAAUGAAAAUAUGACAAAGAAAUUGAAGAAUAUAAUACAAAGAUUCCUUGGUGGAUACAAGAGUUAAAUAGUUUUUAAUUACAAAGAGAGUGAAAAAGAGCAAAAAAAGAAAAUAGAACAAUUUCUCCCUCUUCUUCAUUCAACCACCUAUACACAUUAAUUCAUCCCAAGCCUGAAAAUUACAACAUACACAAUUGAUUAUAAUCAUAUCUUUCGCCUCGAUUAAUUUUACGAGAUAUUUAUUACUUUCUAUCAAAACAAAUAGCACAUAAUAACUUUAUCCGUGAAAGCUUGAAUCAAUAAAAAAACAUUACCUAAAAUUUCAUGACAAGUAUGAUGAAAUACCAAAUAUUAUUAUUGAGUUUAUGAAAUUAAAUCAUUUUACGAGCUUAGUGAAAUGAAAAACUACGAAGAAGAAUUCACAUAAAUUUACGAAAAACUUCUUUAUAUGUCGCAAAGAAUGUUACGUUUUCACUUUGUUUUCCGAGAUUCAUCAUAGAUUUGGUUUGAGAACCGUGUGAUGAAUAUGUGAAUGGAAGCCUUCUUUGCGCGAUAAAGUUACUAUUAACGCUAUUUAUUAUUAUGAUAAAUCAAUGUAUCAAAAUGUGAAUGUGAAAUCUUAUUUCGAUUUUUGAUAGGUAGAGUUAACGCAUUUUAUAAAUUAGUCGAGAUGUGUGUAAAUUAAUCGGAAAAAUUACCGUUACAUUUCACUUCGUUGAGAUGGGCUUCUCCAGAACCCAGUACCAUAAAACUUUUCCCACAUUUCCUUCUCCAGCUCCAAAGCAUCCUUAUCGGUAGCUAGGUUUCCGGCGCCGCCGACCACCGCAAUCGGACUAGAAAUCUGGUAAGCAUGAAGCUCCAUUUCAUCACAGCUACAAUGUCCACUUCCCGACGCCGGCAAAAGCCCCUUUUUCAUCAACCGAUUCCGGCGAUUUUUCCUCAAAGCCUUUCUACAAAGUCCGGCAGGAACCUUAUACACCGCUAGAACCAACAAAUUCGCAAUCCCGCAAGGACAACAACACGCCACCGCCGCACAUUCCGCCGUCGUACCGCCGGCAACCUCCGCUAAUCGCGCUCUCCGAACAACGCUCCCACCGCUGCUGCUGCCGCGGACGCCGCCGCACGACGACGGAGAUGAAUCCUGACUCGAUAAUAGCGGCUGCCGUUUAUCCAGAGAUAGUAAUGGAGGCGAAGGUAUGAUUAUUGGUCUCGUCAUGCCUAAUUUCAAUUGUUUUUAAUUUUAAUUUUUUUCGAAAAAAUUCGAUUUCAUAAGGAUGAUAUAUUUUCGGAGUGGGGGAAGAAGAUUUAUUAGAUCUUCAAAAUGGGAAAAAUUACCCCUCUCCGAAAAUGGCUGGAGAAUUUUAUUUUUUAUGUGAAUUAUAAAAAAAAUUUUGAUGAAUUUGUUGGUUUGAUGUACUAUUUUUGGUUUAUAAAAAAAAUUUAUUUGAUCCAAGAAAAUAUAUUAAUGGUGGUUUUGAAGGGGUGAAAAUAUAGUGGAAAAGAGAAAAAUAAGGUUUGUCGUAUAACGGUGCGGGGAAAUAGGGAACAAAAGGAAUAGAAAAAGGGGUGUUCGAGUCAACUUAUACGGAUCUCGAAGAGUUUUAUGGAAUAUAGAUUACCUUCAUCAGUAUAGAUAUUACGUGUGAUUUGAAGUUGAAAAAAUAUAAUUUGAAUUUCUUAAGUUGUAGUUUUUAAUAAAUAUAAUAAUUUCAUAAAAUGUUGGGAUAUCUUAAAACACGGCAUUAAUAAAUUACAUGACUCUAUGUUUGCUUUAUAAAUGAAUAGUUAUGAUUAUAUGUCAUUACAAACUUUCAAAAUUCAUGUAUAACUUUUGAAAAAUCUCAAUAAUAAUCGUAACUAGCUAAUUUUUGAUAUAAUGAGCACGAAGAGUUUUUUUACGUCGUGCAUGAAUAUAUUUUUUUUAUAAAAAUUAUAAUAAUGGAUCUUCUUUUAAUAAAAUAAAAAUUUAUGAAUCAAGUUUGUUCUGUAUUUUGCGGAAUGGUAAAUCAAUAGUCAUAGUUAAUUCAACCUCGACUUACAUAUAUACUUAUGAUAAAGAAUUAUGACUUCGACUUUUUGAGAAAUGUUACAAUUAUAUCAUGUUAACGCUUUAUACAUGUAAAAUUAUCUAAAGUCUUAAUAAUAUAGCAAGUUUAGGAAACCUCACUUGAUAGUGAUGAUGUAAAUACUCUUGUUAGCACUAUGCAUAUAAUGUCUUAAUAAUCUUAUACAAUAAUAGUAUUAACAUCAAAAAAAUUAAUUUCAAUAUGAUAACUCGAUAUCUCUCGUAUAUACAUGUCUUUUAUUUUUCGAGGCAAACGUUAUUUUGUUUUUAAUAGAAAAUGGUGGUUGGGGACCCUUGAGGUUAGGGCCUAGGGGACAAUGGUACGUGCUAGGGAGUUAAUAGAGGAAGUACAAGACAAGUGUAUAAUUUGGAGAUUACACAAUACUUAAUAACCAAUAUAGCUUAUAUAGGGGGACAUAACAUCGUGAACUAAAAUUUUUUUUUUUUUUGAUAACCGAUCAUCGUGAACUAAAAUUUAAAUUUUGGUUAACCAAAGUUUGAGGUUAGAUAUAAGGUGGUGCAUAAUUUGGUACAACAUAUAUAGAAUCAAUGAAUAAUUAAAAUUAAAAUUUUUAAUACUAACUAUUUUGAUAUUUAAUAUGAUAUUUUGUUGGAGUCAUAUUCUCGUGUCUUUGAUGAAUCUAGAUGAAAUAAUAUGACUGAUGAAAUAUUAGAUUAAAACUUUUUGCCUUAUUUUUUCAGAAUUGAUGAUUUGUCCAACUCAAAAAUCAUGUAUAUUUCCUCUAACUCACACUUCCUAGAAAAAUAACAUUUUGUUUUGGUUUCCAUCCUAUGUUUGGAGCCAGCAAUGGAUCCCCGACUAAAUUUGAGUCAUGACGCUUUCAAUAGGAUUUUCUCCGUAUCUAGGACUCAAAUCCAAAAUCUCUAGUUAAAAGGGUAGCAAUUUCAUCACUGCAACAUAACCCAUGUUGAUAUAAAAAUAAAGUUCAAGUUAUCAAAUCGAAUAAAACGAAAACGAAAGGAGAGAAAAAUGAGCCAUAUCUUAUUUAAUUAGAUAUGGUAUUAGUAUGAUAAUUAGUUUAAGAAACCAAAGACCAUAAAAUAUCGAAUCAAUAUAUCUAAAAAUCAUAGCAUACUGCCCGUAGUUAAAUUUGAUUAAUAGAAUAUCCUUAAUUAACCAUAAUGUAUUAAUGUUAAAAAGAUAAUUAUUGAUGGAAUUUUCAAUAUAAUAAUUAAUAAGAUAGUAGUGCUAUGCUUGACCUUUAACUAGAGGACACAUAAUCCUUAUCUGGUCAUUUAUAAAAUAAAAUAAAAAAUAGUACAUAAGUUGGUGAAAGUUCACAAUAGUUAAUUAUUAUUAAUUUCAUAUCAUUUUGCAUGGGAUACUUUAUUCAUAGACCUUCAAAAUUUUGAAUAUAUCUUGUACUUCUUUUUCUAUUUUUUGCUUUGCUAGUAUUGAAAUUUAAAUAAAGAUUUAAGCCAAAAACAAAAUUAAAUUAUGAUGUCAUUUUUUCUCUAAGAAUUCCUCUUAUUUUCUUGUGAUUUUUGAACUUAACGAGAAUAAAACGGUUCAAUUUUCACAUAAUUCAAGGACAUUUUUAAUCUCAAAUCAAUGUAAUGACCCAUUCUUGUUAUUUCUUUUUGUUAUUUGGGUACCCAAAAAAGUUACUUUAAGAAAUUCACACAGACGAACUGAAAAAACAAAAGAGAACUGAUAAUUAAUUUAAGUAAUAGAAAGUAAUUAUCCACAACUAGUUUUAGGUAUAUAUUUUUAUUUUUAAAAAAAAGGGGAAGUUAUACAAUUGGUUAGGGGCAAUCUCCGAAAUUCGAACCCGAAAUCACUGAUUAGGAUAGAAAAAUCUCAACCAUUCCACUAUCACCCCGUGUUGGUUGUUGUAUCCAUCUUUAUAAUAAUGAACAAUGAUUAUUUUUUGUUAAAUGACUUGCUUCCCUCGUUUCCCUAAAAUAACUUCUUCUUUUUAAAAAAAAAUAAAAAUAGGACCCCAUGAGCAAAGGACUUUCUAAUUCAAAUAAAUUAAAAAUAAAAUACGAACAUAUGAAAUAUAUAAAAUAAUUACCUAGUAAUAUGGAUUAGUUUUUAAUUAGUGGAUUCCAUUCUUCAAACAAAUGUGAUUUAAUAUUCCUAUAAUUAGUUGCCACACCAACCACAUGCAAAUAUAAGUAGCUGACUCUUUUUCUCUCUUCUACUUUUACCUAACAACCCUUGAUUUUUUCUUCUUAUUUUUAGAUAAUUUUACCCUCUUGGAAAAAUAUAAUUCAGAAUGGUAUAUAAAUUUUUGAAAAAAAAUAAUCAAAUUUCUUUAAAUGAGAUUUUUUUUUUGUUUUAUUGAAUUAAAUAGCCUUAAUUAAAUUUUCUUAUGUUUUAGAUAAUUUUACCCUCUUGAAAAAUCAUGUGUUUUAAACUAUUUAACUUAAUAAAAAGUGUAUUUAAUUUCUAUAAUACCAUUUAUCUCUUUACUAAUUAGAGUAAUAAAGAUAUAUUUUUGAGUAUCGCCUUUGUUUGGGAGCAUUUCACCCUUCACCGUAGGACUUUCAGGUGCGAGAUUUAGUUUGGCGAAUAUGGAUACUAGACACCGGAUAAAAAACUAAAAAAAGAAAUUAUUUUUUCAAAAGAGUAAAAGAUGACUAUGAUUUUUUUUUUAAAGUAUUAAAUUUAAAAAUAUCUUUGGAUGUACUAUAUUUUCGUUUAAAACACAAGAUUUUUUUAGGAUAAAACUAAAAUUUAGGUGAUAAAAAUAGAUUCAAAAUCCAUAAAAUGUCUAUUUAUUGUUUGGUGUUACAAAACAAAAAAAGUCAAAUGCCACAGAAAUAUGUGCUGAUGGCAUUCGAUAGAAACUGCAAAACAAUUUUAAAAAACUAUAUAUAAAUAAAUAAAUUUAAAAAAAAUAAAAACAGUUGACAAUUCAUUUUCCCAUUUCCAAAUAAAUUUUUCCCUUUAAAUACAUCAAGUUAACUGUUCCAUUGUUCUCUAUCUUCUUAUUAUAAUAAUUCCAUGAACUUCUUACAUAUUAUUAUCAAUAAAAUGUUUUUAUUUAUAGUUUUCCAAGAAAAUUUCCUUUAAUUUUUUCCCUUCAAAUAUCCAAAAAAUUUAAAAUUGUAUAAUUUUUUUUGCAAGAGGAAAAUGGAGAAUUCAUUGGGAUGUGCAUUUAUGGCUGUUUUUGCAGUUUCUGGAAGUGUUGUUCUCCUUGCUAUGAAAGUGCAUCAACAUCUUCUUUCUGAUUUCAUCAACAAAUUGGAAACUCAAAUUGGUAAUUUUACUCUUUCCCUCUUUCGGAAAUUGUUCUAUUUUAUCGUCUGUUAUAAUUUGGAUCGAUUUAUAACUUUACUUUUAGUAAAAAGUCUCAUUGGUCGAUUUAAAACGUUACUUUUUGCAAAAAAAAAGUCUCAUAUUUGAUCUUAUUGUUGAAGUUUAAAUGCGGAAUUAGAGAAGCAGAAGGGUUUAUCCAAUUAUUUGAAUCUUUCUUUAUUGAAAAAUCGGAUUGUGUAUAUAAUGACAAAACUUAUUUCCGUAUGAAUAUAUAUAUUAUAUAUGUUAAAAAAUUUUGGUGAAAAUUUUGAUAGAUUUUUUUAUUAUAUAUUUAAUAGUGUUCAAGCGUAAAAUAAGAAGAUUUUAGUACGUGUCAAGAUUAAACCCAAAGUAUAAUGGAGGACAAAAUUCUCAAUUUUAUUGGAAGUUGUUAAAUUUUCUUUUUUCUUAUAUGGUUUUGUAAUUCAAAAAAUAAAUUAUUAUUUUUUAUUAUCUAUCCCUCUUUUAUAUGACCGCCCUUAACCGCUAGAACCGUAGUCCCUAUUUUAUCAGUUUUUAUGAAAUAUAUAAUAUAUAAUAAUAAUAAUAAUAUAUUCAGUGUAAUUGUAUAAGUGAGGUUUUAAGAAAAAUAAAGUAUACACAAAAUUGUUUCUGGUAAACCUUAACUUAAUAAAACAUAUAAUACUACAUUAUGCAAUUUUAGAAGUGGAGUAUAAGAAGGGUAUGUGUUUGUUGUCUUACCCUUAUAUAUCUUGAGAAAGUAGAAAGACUAUUUCUGAUAAAUUAUCGACUCAAAUAAAUCAUAUUAUAAAUUUUAUGAAAUAUGAGACUUUUUGCAACCUCUGACUAAUAUGGAUGACUAUUCAUGUUAAUUUCUUUAAUAAUUUAUUUGAUGUUUUUUUUUUAAUUUGUAUGACCAGAUAAAAAUCAAGCAAAGAAGAAGGUUAUGUUUUCCAAUAAAGUUGUGGAAUUGGGGUCUCAAAACAAAGAUAAACUUAAUGAUGAGAGUUUGGAAUCUAUGCCUUUGAAUUGGCAAGUUCUUUACAAAGGAAUUCUCAAUAAUAAAAACCUUAGAGGUUUAAAUAACUAUUAAUAAUUUUUUAUAAAAAAAUUAUAUAUAUUUGUUUAUUGUAAUGGUGAUUUUUGUAUUUACAUUUUGCAAAAGGAAAUGACACGUUGUGACUUUAGUAAUUUUUUUGUUUUUAUUUGUGUAACAUAUUUGGUUUAAUAAUAUAUAUAUAUAGAGAGAGAGAGAGAGAUUUGGGGAAUGAAAGGAAUUUUUCUUUUUUGUCAAUUACUUCCUUUGUCGUUCACAAUUUGUUAUUUUUUCUAUUUCAAUUUGUUUGUCAUAUUAUAAUUUUUAGUCUGUUUAGUAUAGAAUAUCUCUUUUCUUUUUGACAUUUUCUUUAAUUAUAACUUUUCAUAUUACAUGUUUAAGACCAUGAUAUUCAAUUGUCUUCAUUCUUCUCUACUUUCUUAAACUUCGUAUCUAAAAAAAUAUGAUAAACAAAUUGAAAUGAAGAGACUACUAUUUUAUAUUAAGAUAGUCCUUAUGAUGAGAUAUAUGAGAAUAAAUUUGAUAGAGGUAGAUUCAUGAUCUCUAAUUUAUAAGUUUAAAAUCUAUAAUUAUUUUUCCUUGUUCAAUUUUAAACAGAUUAUUCCAUACAUAUUAAAAAAAAAUUAAAAAUAAAUAUAUAAAUUAAAUUUAAAUUAUUAAAUUUUAUCGAAUCCGUAACUAUAACUCCACCCCCUCACAAAUGUGAAUAUCCAUUGAUUUGAAUGGUAAAACUCAUUAAAGUAUUAUACUUUUCCAAUAAAAGAUGAUGUAAUAAGUUGUAUUAUGACGUAAUCCAUCGUCGGCAAAAGUUUGAAAAUUAUUGGAUUUAUAUUUUGAAGAUAUUUGGUCGUUUGUGUAUGAUUUUUUUUCUUUUUUUUAUAAAAAUAUAAAAUAAUGUUUGGUUAUAAAUUGAACUGCUUUUUAGAAUUAAAAAAAAAAAAAACUGAAGAUGAAUUGCAAUUUUUUAAAAACGAUAUAGUAAAGUUUUUCCACAUACAAAACUGUUACUUGUUUUUUUAUAAUUAAGAUAAAUGCAUGUCCAAAUCGAGACGGAUUCUUAAUUUAAAAUUUCAUAAGUUAAAUAUUCAAUGUUUUUAAUAUUAAACUUGCAAUACUCAACACUGUAUCGGUUCAUGUCUAUCGUUUAUUGCAAUUUUAAUGAAUUUUUAUAUAUAAAUAUAGGCUCAACGUUGAAAAUAUUGAGUUUCGAUAAUCCCGAUAUCAAUAUGUUGCCUUCGUUCAAACGUAAUUUCAACUCGCAAAUCGAUAAUAGGCGUGGGUUUAAUUCUUAUUGUUCCCUUCAUCUUCCCAAACUUGAUCCAUAUAAUUGCAAUAUGGCGAAUAGAGAGUAACAAAAUGAAUUUUUUGACUCAAAUUUGCAAUAAAAUGUUUUGUAUUAUAAUUGCUACAACAACAUGAUGAUUCAUAUUUUUUAUGAAUUCAUAAUCGUACGAAGAAAUUCAUUUUUGCAAAUUAUAAAUCUAGAUUAUAGAAUAAUCUGUGAUUAAUAACACGAUUUCAACCUCUAUUGAACUGAAACAAACGAAAUCACAAAAAUCAAAUCCAGAUCCGUCAAAAUAAAAACCAAAUAUCACUGUAAUUUUUCCGUUCUAAGUUUUUAAAAAAAAGUAUACAUCCAACAUACUUGUAUUCAUCUACGAACCGAUCUGCCGGAAUCUCUCGUCGCCGCCGUGGAAGAAAAAAAAAAGUUCUUCAUCGACUCUGCUACCGGUCCAGAUCGGUCGGUUCAUAGUGGCACCGCGGCGGUUUUAGGAGGUGAAAUAGAAGAUUGGUUGAAGAGCGAGGUAGAGGAAGAUGAAGCAACAGCUGGAUGUUGCUAAGAACACCAAUCCGUAGAUAGUUCGAAUCGCCAUGGAAGAAGAUUCUGAAUUUGAUGAGAGAGAUUGAGAUUUAGAUCUGGAGAGAGUAGUUGUGAAGUAGUGGAGUGGGGAAGUUCAAUUUUAAAUAGAGGUUGAAAAAGUUUCCAGAUUUGAAAUUUUGAAUGAAAAAAAGCACUAAAAAUAGGGAAUUGGAUAAGGCUAUGGUAGCUAUAAAUGGACAAUAAUUUGGAAUAAGAGAAAAAAA
Molecule: long non-coding RNA, 17405 nt
Filed under: Solanum tuberosum (potato)
Lineage: Eukaryota; Viridiplantae; Streptophyta; Magnoliopsida; Solanales; Solanaceae
Description: long non-coding RNA (STUB_LNC010287)
Source: RNAcentral